RNAcentral lists this ribosomal RNA (404 nucleotides) under Fusobacteriota bacterium. Its description in RNAcentral is "Fusobacteria bacterium partial 16S ribosomal RNA". It matches the Rfam family "Bacterial small subunit ribosomal RNA", at positions 355 to 776 of the family's 1533-position model. Lineage: Bacteria; Fusobacteriati; Fusobacteriota. The record is from RNAcentral.
UGGGGAAUCUUGCACAAUGGGGGAAACCCUGAUGCAGCGACGCCGCGUGAGCGAUGAAGGUUUUCGAAUCGUAAAGCUCUGUCCUAUGGGAAGAUAAUGACGGUACCAUGGGAGGAAGCCCCGGCUAACUACGUGCCAGCAGCCGCGGUAAUACGUAGGGGGCGAGCGUUGUCCGGAAUUACUGGGCGUAAAGGGCUUGUAGGUGGUUUGUCGCGUCCGUCGUGAAAUCCUGUGGCUUAACCAUGGGCUUGCGGUGGGUACGGGCAGGCUUGGGUGCGGUAGGGGAGACUGGAAUUCCUGGUGUAGCGGUGGAAUGCGCAGAUAUCAGGAGGAACACCGGUGGCGAAGGCGGGUCUCUGGGCCGUUACUGACACUGAGGAGCGAAAGCGUGGGGAGCGAACAGG